AGACCGAUAGCGAACAAGUAGAGUGAUCGAAAGAUGAAAAGCACUUUGGAAAGAGAGUUAAAAAGCACGUGAAAUUGUUGAAAGGGAAGCGCUUGCAACCAGACUUCGUAGCGGUGUUCCGCCGGUCUUCUGACCGGUCUACUCAUCGUCGCGAGGCCAACAUCGUCUGGGGCCGCCGGAUAAGACCUAAGGAAUGUAGCUCUCUUCGGGGAGUGUUAUAGCCUGUGGUGAUGCGGCGCGUCUCGGGCGAGGUCCGCGCUUCGGCAAGGAUGUUGGCGUAAUGGUUGUCAGCGGCCCGUCUUGAAACACGGACCAAG
This 317-nucleotide ribosomal RNA is filed under the name Exutisphaerella laricina. RNAcentral's name for it is "eukaryotic LSU rRNA". It matches the Rfam family "Eukaryotic large subunit ribosomal RNA", at positions 331 to 670 of the family's 3401-position model. The record is from RNAcentral. Lineage: Eukaryota; Fungi; Ascomycota; Dothideomycetes; Mycosphaerellales; Mycosphaerellaceae.